This 332-nucleotide ribosomal RNA is filed under the name Phycisphaerales bacterium. RNAcentral describes it as "partial 23S ribosomal RNA". It matches the Rfam family "Bacterial large subunit ribosomal RNA", at positions 2583 to 2916 of the family's 2925-position model. The record is from RNAcentral. Lineage: Bacteria; Pseudomonadati; Planctomycetota; Phycisphaerae; Phycisphaerales.
GCCGAUUAAAGUGGUACGCGAGCUGGGUUCAGACCGGCGUGAGCCAGGUCGGUCCCUAUCUGUUGUGGGCGUCGCAUGUUUGAGUGGCUUCAACUUUAGUACGAGAGGAUUGAGUUGGACGAACCCCUGGUGAUCCAGUUGCAACGCUCGUUGCACCGCUGGGUAGCUACGUUCGGCAGGGAUAAACGCUGAAAGCAUCUAAGCGUGAAGCCCCCCACGAGACUAGACAUGCUUGUCGCAAGACGAAAGACCCCUGGAAGACCACCAGGUUGAUAGGCCGCACAUGCACGGGCUGAAAGGCCCUUAGUGGAGCGGUACUAACGGUCGAACGG